UAUAGGCCGAUGGAUUAGCGCGCGAUUCGCCUGUGCCAGCAGCCGCGGUAAUUCCAGCUCCAAUAGCGUAUAUUAAAGUUGUUGCAGUUAAAAAGCUCGUAGUCGGAUUUCGGGUCGGGCCGAGCGGUCUGCCGAUGGGUAUGCACUGUUUGGCGCGGCCUUCUUUCCGGAGACCGCGGCUACUCUUAACUGAGCGGGCGUGGGAGACGGAUCGUUUACUUUGAAAAAAUCAGAGUGUUUCUAGCAGGCAGCUCGCUCUUGCAUAGGUUAGCAUGGGAUAAUUUAAUAGGACUCUGGUGCUAUUUUGUUGGUUUCGAACACCGGAGUAAUGAUUAAAAGGGGCAGUCAGGGGCACUCGUAUUCCGUCGAGAGAGGUGAAAUUCUCAGACCAAUGGAAGACGAACCACUGCGAAAGCAUUUGCCAGGGAUGUUUUCACUGAUCAAGAACGAAAGUUAGGGGAUCGAAGACGAUCAGAUACCGUCGUAGUCUUAACCAUAAACCAUGCCGACUAGGGAUUGGAGGGUGUUCGUUUCGACCUCUUCAGCACCUUACGGGAAACUAAAGUCUUUGGGUUCCGGGGGGAGUAUGGUCGCAAGGCUGAAACUUAAAGGAAUUGACGGAAGGGCACCACCAGGAGUGGAGCCUGCGGCUUAAUUUGACUCAACACGGGGAAACUUACCAGGUCCAGACAUUGUUAGGAUUGACAGAUUGAGAGCUCUUUCUUGAUUCGAUGGGUGGUGGUGCAUGGCCGUUCUUAGUUGGUGGAGUGAUUUGUCUGGUUAAUUCCGUUAACGAACGAGACCGUAGCCUGCUAAAUAGUUCCGCGAACUUCUUGUUGGCGGUCGACUUCUUAGAGGGACAACUUGUGACCAACAAGUGGAAGUUUGCGGCAAUAACAGGUCUGUGAUGC
Molecule: ribosomal RNA, 911 nt
Filed under: uncultured eukaryote
Lineage: Eukaryota
Description: SSU rRNA
Rfam family: Eukaryotic small subunit ribosomal RNA
Source: RNAcentral